RNAcentral lists this ribosomal RNA (846 nucleotides) under Apharyngostrigea pipientis. RNAcentral describes it as "partial large subunit ribosomal RNA". The stretch from base 410 to 846 matches the Rfam family "Eukaryotic large subunit ribosomal RNA", at positions 1 to 918 of the family's 3401-position model. Lineage: Eukaryota; Metazoa; Platyhelminthes; Trematoda; Diplostomida; Strigeidae. The record is from RNAcentral.
CUGGUGAGUGUGUCAUGGGCUUGGUCAUUUUCGGCCGGCCUCUGGAGUCCGCUUAGCUGCGGGUCCUUGCUUCUUCGGGAGUAGGGAUGUGCGUUGCGCUUGUCAAGUGCUGUGCGCUCUGGAGGUUGCCGGGCUGGCUCGCCGGUGCACUUUCUCGGAGUGGUCACCACGACCGGCGUUGUUGUCUUGCUGCUGUGGUCGAACCGGCUGGGUUUGGUCCUUGUGGCUGAACUUGGUCGGGAUGGCAGGUAGCUCAUUGGUUGGCUUGUCCAGUCUUUGGGUGUAAUCAGCUGUCUGCAGUGGUAUUGUGCAAUGCGUCGGAGACUGCGGCUUUAGGUAUUUGCUUUCGUGCCGUUGGCUGGCAGUGUUGGGUUUGACUGGCGUGUUACCUGCUUCGGUGGGUCCGUCGGUAGCUCAGUGCUGUUCGGUUAGCGGUUGCUUAAGUGAUAUCGUACAUGGGCCCAUAGUCUGUGGUGUAGCAGCAAACGAUCCCCCUGACCCGUCUUGAAACACGGACCAAGGAGUUUAACAUGUGCGCGAGUCAUUGGGCGUUACGAAACCCAAAGGCGCAGUGAAAGUAAAGGUUCGGCUUGUCCGAGCUGAGGUGAGAUCCUGUAGCUUUUCGUGCGAGGUACCACCAAGCAGUGAGCUAUGGGCGCAUCACCAGCCCGUCUCAUGGUGUGGUCAUGUAGCCUUGUGUUGCGUGCAUCACCGGGGCGGAGCCUGAGCGCACACGUUGAGACCCGAAAGAUGGUGAACUAUGCUUGCGCAGGUUGAAGCCAGAGGAAACUCUGGUGGAGGACCGCAGCGAUUCUGACGUGCAAAUCGAUCGUCUAACGUGAGUAU